GAAUGCUUUGAAUAGUGCUGCAGUACAGCCACAGCCAUCUAAUAAUUAUUUCAAUACACUUCUAAUAUGCAUUUUGGACAGUUUCAGCCUCUGGAAGGAGUCAUGCCGAGGACACCCUUGAAGUUACUUCACUGGCAAUGACAUAUUGACAGAGGACAUACUACAGUAGAGGGCCAAAACUUUGCCCUAGUAAACAAAAAAUUCUCCAUAAAAUAGCCGUGUGCAAUAAAGAAUCUGUAUCCAGCACAGAACGACAUACCUGUUUUAGUAUCAUCUUCACCUUCUUCCUCAAACUUUAUUUUCUUGCCCUGAAACUGUACUUUCCCUUUUUGUGUGCCUUGAGGUAUCUUCCCCCCUCUUCCUUUUCCUUUAAGUUUGCGACCUUUUGUUUUCUGUUUCAGCAAUUCCUGCUGAUCUUCCAUUAUUUUUUUCAGAGCUUCUUUCUCCUCAUCUCCUUCUAGCAACUCCCAAGUAACAUCCUUGUUCCGAAGCUGUAGGUUUCCAUUAUGUGCUUCUUUGGCUUUUUCCAGAGCUUCUUUUGCAGUAUCCUUAAAUAGGAUAAUUCCCUUAAGAAGAAAAAAGGCAUUUGCGUGUUACUGUGAAAACACUCAGCCAGAACGAUGAACAACAUAUCCUGCUAGGUACCUCAGCAAGUUCAUUAUGCUUGCAUGAUGUGAAAAAUCCAGACUGAAACAAAACCCUCAGACUGACCUAACAAGCAUUCUUAGUCUCAGUAUUGAACUAAUCAGCUGAUGAGCCUGGAACCUUUACCCGUGCUUUUGAAAGAAUUCAAGUGAAUGAUUUCGUUUUCUAAAUAUUCUGCAGUUCCACAAGUCAAAUUAAACAAAAAAAGAAAACAGAAGUAAUUAUUUACUUCUGUUAUAUAGGAGCACAUGCAUUUAAUUAUUAAGCUUCAAACUCCAAUACUAAGAUCUUUACUCAGAGUCCAAGAUUAUACUGACCUCCUUUGCACCUCUUACGAAGUGUAUCCAUUUGAUUUCUCCAUGAUCAGAAAAUACUGCAUGGAGAUCUUCUCUGCACGUUUGAUCAUCUAGAUCACCAAAAAACUUCAAAAGACAUCCUGUCUUUUCUUCUAGAGAUUUCUAAAUAAAAGUUGAAGACAUUUUUA
Molecule: long non-coding RNA, 1129 nt
Organism: Oxyura jamaicensis (ruddy duck)
Lineage: Eukaryota; Metazoa; Chordata; Aves; Anseriformes; Anatidae
Exons: 2
Source: RefSeq, a predicted model, not a curated record